UACGUAGGGGGCAAGCGUUAUCCGGAAUUACUGGGCGUAAAGAGUGCGUAGGUGGCACUGUAAGCGCAGGGUUUAAGGCAACGGCCCAACCGUUGUUUGCCCUGCGAACUGCAGAGCUUGAGUGCAGGAGGGGAAAGUGGAAUUCCUAGUGUAGCGGUGAAAUGCGUAGAUAUUAGGAGGAACACCGGUGGCGAAGGCGACUUUCUGGACUGUAACUGACACUGAGGCACGAAAGCGUGGGGAGCAAACAGGAUUAGAUACCCUGGUAGUCCCUGA
This 276-nucleotide ribosomal RNA is filed under the name uncultured prokaryote. Its description in RNAcentral is "partial 16S ribosomal RNA". It matches the Rfam family "Bacterial small subunit ribosomal RNA", at positions 524 to 800 of the family's 1533-position model. The record is from RNAcentral.